RNAcentral lists this long non-coding RNA (209 nucleotides) under Pan troglodytes (chimpanzee). Its description in RNAcentral is "long non-coding RNA NONPTRT007748". Lineage: Eukaryota; Metazoa; Chordata; Mammalia; Primates; Hominidae. The record is from RNAcentral.
ACUUUCUGGGCUAAUAUAUUAUUUUUACCACAACAUACAGUCUUUGUUUCCAUUUGAAAACUCAACAGCAGAGAUUAUAUUGCAAUGUUUUGACCAGGUCACUUGCAGUUCAUAUUUUUUAAUAUCAAGUCCGUGAUAUUGCUAAUCCUGUACAAUUUCAAUUCCUCACUAUCUAUGAGAGGAUGAAUAUUUUACAUUAAAUGUUGGGA